Molecule: ribosomal RNA, 608 nt
Filed under: Apiotrichum dulcitum
Lineage: Eukaryota; Fungi; Basidiomycota; Tremellomycetes; Trichosporonales; Trichosporonaceae
Description: eukaryotic LSU rRNA
Rfam family: Eukaryotic large subunit ribosomal RNA
Source: RNAcentral
CGGAGGAAAAGAAACUAACAAGGAUUCCCUUAGUAACGGCGAGUGAACCGGGAAAAGCUCAAAUUUGAAAUCUGGCUGUCUUCGAUAGUCCGAGUUGUAAUCUAUAGAAGCGUUUUCCGUGCUGAACUGUGUCUAAGUCCCUUGGAACAGGGUAUCAAAGAGGGUGACAAUCCCGUACUUGACACAAUCAUCAGUGCUCUGUGAUACGUUCUCUACGAGUCGAGUUGUUUGGGAAUGCAGCUCAAAAUGGGUGGUGAAUUCCAUCUAAAGCUAAAUAUUGGCGAGAGACCGAUAGCGAACAAGUACCGUGAGGGAAAGAUGAAAAGCACUUUGGAAAGAGAGUUAAACAGUACGUGAAAUUGUUAAAAGGGAAACGAUUGAAGUCAGUCGUGUUUAUUGGAUUCAGCCGGUCUUCGGUGUACUUCCUUUAAACGGGUCAACAUCAGUUUUGUUCGGUGGAUAAAGGUAUUAGGAAUGUGGCUUCUCCGGAAGUGUUAUAGCCUAGUAUCACAUACACUGGAGGAGACUGAGGAAUGCAGCUCGCCUUUAUGGCCGGGGUUCGCCCACGUUCGAGCUUAGGAUGUUGACAUAAUGGCUUUAAACGACCC